UGGGGAAUAUUGGGCAAUGGGCGCAAGCCUGACCCAGCAACGCCGCGUGAAGGAAGAAGGCUUUCGGGUUGUAAACUUCUUUUCUAAGGGACGAAGAAAGUGACGGUACCUUAGGAAUAAGCUCCGGCUAACUACGUGCCAGCAGCCGCGGUAAUACGUAGGGAGCGAGCGUUAUCCGGAUUUACUGGGUGUAAAGGGCGUGUAGGCGGGAUGGCAAGUCAGGCGUGAAAACUAUGGGCUCAACCCAUAGCCUGCGUUUGAAACUGUCGUUCUUGAGUGAUGGAGAGGCAAGCGGAAUUCCGU
This 303-nucleotide ribosomal RNA is filed under the name uncultured bacterium. RNAcentral's name for it is "bacterial SSU rRNA". It matches the Rfam family "Bacterial small subunit ribosomal RNA", at positions 355 to 672 of the family's 1533-position model. The record is from RNAcentral.